GGACUCGUGGUGUAGCCUGGUUAACACGCCUCUUUGUCAAGGAGGAGAUCGCCGGUUCAAAUCCGGUCGGGUCCGCCA
RNAcentral lists this transfer RNA (78 nucleotides) under Candidatus Saccharimonadota bacterium. RNAcentral's name for it is "tRNA-Asp". It matches the Rfam family "tRNA". Rfam says of the family: Transfer RNA (tRNA) molecules are approximately 80 nucleotides in length. Their secondary structure includes four short double-helical elements and three loops (D, anti-codon, and T loops). The record is from RNAcentral. Lineage: Bacteria; Candidatus Saccharimonadota.